Long non-coding RNA from Gasterosteus aculeatus aculeatus (three-spined stickleback), 12132 nucleotides. The record is from Ensembl. NCBI's taxonomy places the organism in Eukaryota, Metazoa, Chordata, Actinopteri, Perciformes, Gasterosteidae.
AUAUAUAUAUAUAUAUCAUAUAUAUGAUAACACAUUGGCAUAAGCAACAGGGGGAGCAAAACGUAGCAGAAUGUGAUAGAUUGAUUAUUUUGACGUGUAUUUGUCACAAACAUCCAUGCCUCGUCUCCCGGGCCUGCGUACAGGUUACAUUUUUACAGAGUGCCUCCCUCGUGUCCUCCGUAAAGCUCACACAGGGCCCGCAUGGCCCAAACAAAGCACAGCGAAACAAAAAUGGUAGUUACUGGUAAUGUGCUGCUGGAGUGGUCCCGGUCUGCGCCAACACCUGCAGAUAAGCUCCUACACUGCGUCUGCCUCGCUUAACGCUCCGCCUAAUGAUUGUGACCCGUGUGCGCUGCGGCGCAUUGGCGCGAGGGGUUUACUGGCAGCCGGCAGCCGAUGGUACAAACAACCUGUGAAUGACAGGGGUUCUAAUGAUGCAGUUUAUUAUCUCCCCAAAGCACGGUACGCGCGGGGCUGCAAACAACCAUUUUGACAGCUGCUUCAGUCUAUCUGUCUCUCUGCCUGUCUCGCUGUAUCCCCCGCGCAGCAAUGGCGGUACCUUUGCAUCCUUUAUCAACAGUAUGGUUUUGGCACUUUGCGUCAGGUUCAUCGCUGGUUCCCUCUAAAUGGAGGCUGCAGGUCCAGCGGUCGCCGGGAACGAGAGAGCGACGAGAAGGGAGCGCGCACACGACUACAGAGAGAGAGGGAGAGAGUGAGAAGGGAAAGGGCUUCGGGUUCCAGAGUGUGUGAUAAAAACGGUGUUCCUCUGACGUGGAGAUUACCCGUGUGUUUGUCACCCUGACGGUUGUCAAUAUGUGGCUGCCAGGCCGCAGCGAGAGGCUGUUGCUUGGAACAAUGGCUGCGGAAGAUUGUAUUGGAUUUUUAUCAGGGGACCUCCAGAGUUUCUAAGAGCCCGGCCUCGUGUUGGAGAGCUGUGUGUGUGUGUGUGUGUGUGUGUGUGUGUGCUUGUCUGAGAUUCUAUGUUUGCCUGCACAGCCGGCCUAAUAGCAGGCACAUUACACCUCCAGCCGCUGGGUAAACGCUCUUUUAAAUAGAGGCUCCACACAUCUCCCUCAGACAUCUCGGUGACCGGCUCAAUGCGGAGAUUUGAAAUGUCACAGUUGUGCUUAUUUUUUCACUUUGAUUCUUUUAUUAUUAUUAUGGUCUAUUAGAGGAGAGAUAAUAGCAGCAGGUAGGAGGAUUGGCCAUGUUGGAAGGGGACACAAGGCCUUUGCUUGUUAUCCGAGAAUAAAGUAACAUCUUGUGUCACAAGGCUGCUGUUUGGAGGACAUUAUAAAAUACCUAGAGCUUUAAGAGAAGAUCUCUUGGUCCGCAUUUCAUGCAAAAAGCAUUAUUGGAGCCCCAGACGCUCUAUCGUGCUGGUAAAAGUGCAUGCCAGACAUACCCGCAGCCGGCAUUAUCUCUGAUGUCAUUAGAUUAUGAUGCAAAUUGCAUUAAAAUGGCAUAACCUAAUUAAAUAGUAUCUCAAACUGGCGACAAAGACAAAUGUCAGAGGAAACAAAUACGAGAGCCCCAUCUCCAUAAGACCAUGUUUGCUGAUCCAAUUAUCCCAGCCCUAUUUGGACGACAUGGAGGCACAGCUGAGCGCGCAGGGAGGAAAGGGGAGCACAGAGGUGGAUUUAGAGCUGGUGCUCCAUAAAAGCGGUGCAAGAGUGGGAAAGGGGGCGAAAAAACAGAAAGCCCGUUGCUGUUGUGAAUGCUAAAAUGGAACCCUGGUGAGAACAACUUGGGAAGCCAGCCCCGACUCGACAACGAUUCUGUUAAAAAACUGGUCAGAGUAGAUGCAGCACUCUACACACAGCGCCGUGGGACUGAAGAGAUGGACCUCGUCCCUGUGCCCCAAAUGCUACUGGAAGCCCUGGCAACUGGGAGGCAGUUUGGAUGAGCAUUAUUUAGUCCGGUACAUGCAAACUGCAAAGCCAACACAGUUUUCCCUGCUCCUCGGGGCUCUGUGUUCCUCCGCAGGCUGUGAUCGAUUGGCCGGUGAUCAAUCCCUCCACCACAGAAGACUAGAGGUGAAUGUCCCACGCGGUAACUAGAAACUAGCGAUUAUCCUCUAAUUUCUUUCCCUUUUCUUUUAUGUGAGAGCUGAUUUUCUCUGGCUGUCCUGCUCUUUAUUUCCUAGCACCCCCCGGCCAUCUCCACCCACGUCUUCUUCUGAAACCCUCCCUCCCUUUUCCCAUCUCCCUCCUGGUUUCCACUUUUCUCUUCACUUCAUUCCCCCCGAUUCUCCUUCUCUGCCACCAGCUCUCACCACCACCACCACCACCACCCCCACCCCCACCCCGCCUGCAGCUCCAUCCCUCUCCAGGGUGACGUUGCCAAAGGGGAAUUUCUCUCGCAUUCUGUAAUGAGGGAUCCUGAAUCAAUGGCGUCAACAAUGCACAGCGAUACGUUGUUAUUCUGGUAGGGCUCAGCUAUUACGGUGUUCUUUUCUCCAGAAGGGUGUUUGGGGACGAGUUCCCUUUGCUCUCUCUCUCUCUCUCUUCCUCCCACCCACACAAGAUCCAAUCGUCUGGAGGGAGAAACGGAGCCGACCAUUUAUUGAAAUCUGUUUUUAAAUGACAGAGCUUUGACCUUUUCCGGUGCAUGCGCUCCGCAGCCAUAAAUUCUGACGGAUUUCAUUUUACGUUUCCUCCAAGCAUUCAAAACCAAAUUACACCUGCGCAACCCCUUCGAUCCGCACGGGCACGGACACAGUAUUUUCAUCCCCAUUUAUUUCCGCUUUCAGUCGCCCCUUUGGCACUUUUUUGGGGGCCGAUGAGCGCACUUGAAGUAAAAUAAAGAACAAGAGGACUGUAAUUUGUCCUGGAAAAACACAUGCACAUUUUGACAUCGUCUUCCGAAGGCGGUCCUUUUACCAAGCCUGUCGUCAAUUUCCCAUCUUAAAACAGGGAAGGGAAGAACAUUGGAUAGGUAUAUCUAUUGAUUGUUAACCACCAGAUUCGUGAUGUGCUAGUAAUGUGGACCAAUUUCAAACUGUUGACGGAUGAAGCAGCUAUAUAACCUCUCACACGUGACACGCUCCCCUUCAAGCCUUUUGCCCGUUCUCAGUCACAUCUCCUAAAAAGGGCAUGACAUUAAUAAAUUCAACAUUAAACCCGUACGUAUAAACGUAGCGGUCAGGAUCUGAAAGAAAGCAAUAGUUGUUAACCACGCAGCGCUGUGACAUUCACAUAUGUGGAGACGUCACUGCAGAGGGCACGGAGCGAUCCUGGGGGAGGACAAACACAGGGGCACGUGAUACAGGACUUAUUGAUUUAAAAGGCAUAUCUUUAUCCUUAAAGUAUGAACGAAAGGGAAGGGAACAUCAAGAGCAUGGCUCCAUCACCUUGAACAAUGCUAUCGAGUCUUUGUUUUCCACGGCUCCAAGCAAAGCGCCAACACACACCCGUUUGGUCCACAAACUAUGGCUACAAAACAAAACAAAAAGCUUUUUAUUUUGGACCCCUAAAAUCUAAGGAUUGUUUUGGUACGGAUCAAAGUAUAUGUGUGUUCCAGGGGGCUUUGGUAUUUAAGUGUGCGCAGCGCUGAGUGCUUUCCUCAGCCUGUGCAAAAAGCCCUGAGAUACCAAAUACCACCCCAAAUGCACGCGCACUUCUCCUCCUUUUAUCACCGCACACUCCUUGCUGCGGCUCGGCGUGCUUACCUGUGACAGGAGCGCCUUUCAAACGCACCUCAUUGCAUUUCAAACGCCAGUGACUCCCACUCCCUCGUUUCCAAGACUCCCGCAGAUGUACACGCACGAAGCUGUCAGCUGCCCAAAUAUUGAAUAUCCCCUGGCCUUCUCUCCCACCCCUUUCCUGAACCAACUCCUCCACAGCCUCGAGUUGUUGAGAGAAUGAUAUUUUAUGCAUGCCACAGCAGCCCACACACAGAUACAGCUUAUGAAAGACACGCAGAGCCGACUCUCCAUUUGCGUGCGUGUUUGUGUGUGUGUGUGUGUGUGUGUGUGUAUGCGUGAUGCGCAUGUAUCUGUGCGCAGCUUUUUUACAUGCUAAAUUAAGAUGUACUUAAACGGUGUGCUUGCAUUCUGCUGCAGGAGCGCACAUCGCAUAUAUAGGUAGUUCUGCUGUGUCUUGGGGAUCAAUAUGCAUUAUGUAAAUGCUUCUCUAUGUAAAACUUAGGGGUGGCAAAAAGGCCACACGAGUCAAGUUUUGGCACACAGGCCUCCCACUCCCGAGAGAAUUAAUCACGGCAACAGAUUCAGAUGGAGUCUGCCUCCAUACCUAAGCAUUUUUCAGAGCAGGAGAGGACACAGUACAAUGAAUUUGCAUCUGUUUGAAGUUGUAUUAUUAAUUCAUGCCGAUGAGACUUUGCAAGAGACUGGUUACAAUUGUGUAAGGGGAAUACAAAAAAAUAAAAACGUCCCACUAGGUAAAGGGACUGUUUGAUCUUGCUCUAUGUCUCCUUGCUCUUCUUCUCUGCCUGUGGAAAUGUUCGUCGUCCGAGCAUCUUUGUGUUCAGGGCUACCCGUGUUGACCAAUGCGCGAGCGUGGCACUAUCUUAUUUAAUCAGCGCGUGUAGAGCCUAAAUGACGAGCUAUUAUCACCCGUCCACCGCUCGGCUUCGCAAACAGCCCGGGGCGAAAGGUCAAACACUGGUAAUGGGUCGACAGAAAGAGCAAUUUUUAAUUAGACACACAUUUUGAAUCUGAAUGUGAAAUUAGGGUCGUCGCACACAUGCGCCACCUCUACCUGGCAGCGUCUUCCAGCUGUGUACUUACACUCUUCACUCAGGUUUUUGGUUCAUCUCAACACGUGCCCCAUCGUGCAGGGGGAAGGGGCAGGUGAGCGGGGUCGGGGGAGGGCACAGUUGUGCACUGUGCCGGUCAAUGUUCAGCAGGAUGUGCGCAAGAUUUCAGUUGCAUGUGGAAUCCCACAUACGUGUGUCGUACCGGUGCCAGUGGCGUGUUUGCGCUGGCACAGCCAUUCUCCCUCGGAGAAGCGUUUGGAUGGGGGGGGCGUGUGACAAUGUAGUUGUGGCACAUUAUCAGCAGCAACACAAACAUCUGCUGGCAAGAUCCCAGCAGCUAAAAGGUGUGUGUGUGUGUGUGUGUGUGUGUGUGUGUGUGUGUGUGUGUGUGUGGAGCAGAAGCACAGAGGGGGUUCUUGCCAUGUCUGGAGGUUUGUGCCUUCAAGGAGAAGGGUAAUUACACGAGAGCGCACAGAAGAUAAAACAUAUUAAUGGUAUCUCUGGUCAGAGAGGUGCAGUCCUCGGGGCGUUCCGGAGACACACAUCAAGCGCGCUCUGUUAAUGUCAAUUUAAAUCUUACAACAAAUACCGUAAUUCCACAGUUUCUGCGUGCUCGUAAAGCAGUCAUCGCUUUACAGAAACCAUCUUUUUUUUUGCCGAGUUCCCGAGUUCAGGUCUCAGUGUCAAGCAAGCAUUUACCUUUGUUUAAGUACCCUUGAGGUUCAUUGCCCAAAUCCCCCGGAGGCAGCAUGAAUUCACCCAUCAGGAGACGUCUCUGUCCAUGGUGCUGAAACCCAACAGUGAGACACCCGGCAUGACGCUGCCUCCCAGUCCUAUGUGAUACAUACUGAUUGCAGCUGUGUUUUGGUAUGCAGGGCAUUCCUACGUGAAAAGUGCUGGAAUGAAGUACACUCAAAGCACGCAUGCGAAAUUCACUUGUGUUCGAGUGGGCUGUUGACGGACACCAUUAUCUCACAACGCAAUGCCAAACGGCAUCUUGGGGCAGUAUUGCAGCUGGAAAAAAUUAGAAACGGUUUGUUGAUUGUGGUUGGGCGUCAAGAGAAUCACUUCACCAAUUUAACGCAUAUUGAAUAAGGCCUGUGGCUCUGGAGGUUGAUUCCCACGUCUUCAAUAAACAAUUCCUAGUGAUGUCACCAGUGGUCACUGCUUUGGUUUGAGAACAUGGAUUAGUAAUGAACGACGCUAAUAAGUUGUGUUGUAUCUCAAGUCAAGUUUAAAUCUGUCUCUUACAAGUACGCUGACUUUAUGGAGGUGACAUUUUAAAACAUUUGCUGCCCUUCUGAAAGUGAGCAGUCACUUGUAAAAAGAUUUUGUCAUUGGAAAAACAUUUCACUUUCACUUUGAUUGAUGCCUGUCUGUCUGGCAUGAUUCCUCUUAGUUGAAACCACUAAACUAAUUCAGAUUCCUUUCAAAACAUUGUACUAAUUGCUGCAUAUUCUUACAAUUUGUCCGGUGGUUCCGUGCUUGACAAGCAAUACCUCUUCCAUUACUGUAAGAAGAUGGAGGACCUGAAGAAUCGUAUCUUUAGUAUGCAUCCCAGUCUCGGAUUUUAAACGUGUAAAUGCUUUACACAUUGGUUGUCAUUUGGAAAGCCCAUUAGCAAAAGAAAAAAUGUCUAUAGUUACGGAUAAUGUUAUUGUCACCUUAUCGCCUUAAGAUAAAAAAGUGUCAUAGCUGUAAGAUUAUAUAACACAUUCUCAGCCAUUAACUGUGUAAAGAAGAAUCAGUCGCAGUGACAUCACAAAGAAGAGGCGUCUCCGACUGAUAGCCGUUAGAAAGAAUGUCUGAGGCACUUCAGGCUUCGCUUUUCUGAACUGGAGAUGUGUUAACAUUGUUUUCUUUUUUUUUACAAUUGUUCUCACAUAAAUGCUUCAAAUAAAGUGAUGGCUGGCCAAUGUAUUGCUUUGCAAGGGAAUGAAGUAAAUUUAAGCCCAUUAAUAAUGUAUAGACUAAAAAGUCCCAAUUUAUGUAGCUUCAUCAAAUUCAGGCUACGUUUUGGUCUCUUGGGCUGAAAUCCAUGAAUACAACCAGACUAGAUAAGGUUCCAUCUGCACCCGUUUUUUGUUUCAAUGUAUUACAAUGGGGAUUCAGCUGUGACUGCCCAUGGCUCCAGAUGACUCUGAGGCAGCCUGCAGUACGUGGAUGGGUUAGAGAACAACAAUAGUGUGACCUAUUAAUCCAGCUCUGAACGAUCGUGUUCCUGCUCUUUACAAAGCAACGAGACAGACUUUCUUUUUCAUUCUCCUGUUUAAUUUUCGGCAUAUUAUUAUAUUAGAUACAUAAACCCUUGCAGAAUUAGCAUGGCUCCGUUCAAAUGGCUUCAUUGCUGUGACAAACUAGGCCAUGAGCCAAAACAGUUGAACUGCCUAAUUUGAAACAACCUUUCGUCUGAGUGAUGGAGUCCUUCACCAUCACAUUAUCUACUGCCAGAGUAGAAAGCGAUUACUUCAUUUCAAAUGGAGAAGAUGUCUCUAUUUGUGCUCUUAUCUCUAGUUGGAAGUGCACUCAGUCAGAUAUAAGACAUGUCAGUCAUCUCUGUGCACCAAUCAACAUUUGGCAACAUUUGAAUCAGACUUAGACAGUUGUAGGCUUGUUUGCUCAGAUGUUGCCAGGCCGCUGUCAAACAAGUCCGAUCAGACCACCGCCACAGGGUUUUUCAUAAACAAGGAGUUUAAAUAAACACAAACUCUAACCUUGAUUGGUACUAAUAAAUAUUCCAAAGGGUGGAAGGAAGACAAGAAAAUCUCUAUCCAUCUGGGUUAGUGCGAAAAACGCCUCCAGCUGUUACUGAUGUCCUCUGUGUUUCUGGGCCGCAGCUACAAAAUCGAUACUUCUCCCAUAUACCAGUGACGUGACAGCAUAUACUUGAUAUACAGAAGAGCCAUAAACACUUUCAGCUUGGAUUUUUGGAUCUAGCCGGGGCCGUGCUCUUAAGGCUGCUCCAAAAAAGAAUUCCUUUUUUCUGUGUCGCAAACUAGUUAUGCUUGGAGCAAUUAUGUCAAAAAACAUGAAUGCAGAGGAAGUAAUGGACAAUUCCACUUUACUGACUUUCAGCACGUAGUUUUGGUUGGAUACUGUCGCUGAUCCCGCCUGUGUGUUUGUGUGUGUGUUUUCUAGGCCUUAAAGAUAAAACCAGAAAUGACAACCAAGACUGGCAGGGCUGAGAGAGCAUGUCACCCACCUGCUAACUAGGUUGCUAUCUAACUAACUAAUGCAUGCUGGUACAUGUGGGCACUGCUCGCCCCCCCUCCACCGCAGUCCCGCUGGAGAGAAACCACCUUGGUCAGUCGACAUAACGCGCACCGUGGGAUGCAUUGCUUCAGUGGAAUACAUUUACCGUCAACGCCAAGUGGAGAUCCACAUCCAAAUGUUCAUCUUCAUGAUUUCGGCUAAUACUAAAAAUAUACCUUCAGAGUUUUGUCCUCUGUAAAGUCUUUUAAAUGUAAGUGUUGUGGGGAAAAAAACGUUAUCUGAAGCUAAUAAAAAAUGCCCGAUAUGUUUCAAAGUUUGCGUAUCUCUGGACAGCAUUUUGUGCUGAACACCAGUGGUUGAAUCAUAACUCAAAGAGUGAAUUUUCUAUUAAAAAAGAUCAUAACUAAAUACUAACUUAAGGUUGCUGCUUCUGCAGCCUCACAUUAUCUCCAGUUAACCUUUAGAACACAUUCUUGCAGAGAACAAAGAACACCGAUUUGUUUCCCCAUCACUUAAGUUAGAAGCACAUUAAAGGGAAUCCCUUAAUGGUCAUUAAGAACAGGAGGAAGGAUUACAGCCCGUAACAAUGUCCACAUGCGCACCUGACUUUUGUUUUAAGACAGACUGAAUCAACCCUCUAGAGACACAGGGAGAGGAAAAUGAUUUUUUUUUAUUCUGUGUUAAUACCCUUUUUUGAGGCUGUUUUAUCAUAAUACCUGUAUUUUCUAUUCUUGUAAAAUGCAGAAAUUUCUUUGGUGAUCCAUCUUGAACUCGGGAAUAUGAAUGUAAAUCUUUCUCUUUAAAUGGGAUUUGAAGCUAAUCGCAAUGCCUACAUUGUGAAGCAGCACUUGACCAUCAGCAGGGUCAAAGUUACAUGCAUAGUGGUGUCACAACUACUGAUUGUGGGUUAAGGCCCACAGAUUUAUAGCUCGAAGCUACUGAAAUUGCAAAAUAAUGUUAUGAAAUGUUAGCCAAAGACACAGUACCUCCAGUUUUACUGUGACUUUUGUGUGAGAUCAAGUUUCCGGUCGCUUGGAAUAAGUAGGUAAAUGCAUUUUUUUGGUGUGUGUCAUAUUAAGAAUGACAGAAAUGGUGUUUAAUUUACGCUCAGUAUCUUUUCAACCAAAAUGAUGUGUGGUACCAAAAACCCUGCAGCCUUAUGCCAAGUUUGAUGGGAACAAGAGGUGAAUAGCCAUGUCCAGCAUGCACAUCUGUAGAAUUGAGUUGCAUGGACACAAAUACUGAAUACGUGUGUAUCUAUGUGGACGGUAACUUCAAAACAUGCUAAUCGAUAAUGCUGUGGACUGGAUUUCAAUGCAAGAACCCGUGAGAUGAUCGAGAAGGAACCAAUGACUCCGCAGUGCUGCAGUUCUGUGACGAGGCAACGGUUGGCAAGGUGCAAAACACUUCUCCAUUAACACCUUCACACAAGGCCUGUCACUUUAAUGAAGGGCUACCGCGCCAGGCUGUGCCACACGCUAGUCUGUGACACACGCCGGCCCGUACUGUAAACUCGGUCUGUCACUUUAAUUUAACCUUGCUGAAUUGCUUCGCAAGAUAUUUUCCUCAGACCGAUUUUUUGUCUGACGUGUGAUGGGCUAGUUAAUUAAGACAGUGACAUUAUUAAAGCCAGGACUGACUGCGGCAUGUUUUUAUUAAUUCACCAUCUGACCUUUCCUCUGGAUUCAGCACCUGAUACCUUUACAAUUACUGUAUCGCCCAGCGGAAACGUUCAGUGGUGAGGUAGAAAACAAGGAUUCAGCUGUUCAAAUUCCCACACCUAAGCUGCCCUGAGUUUUCAGUUGUGUGUCCCAUAACGUGUUCGUAAAAAACACUGCUGCUCAACCGCUGUAUACACAUGCAGACAUUUCUGUACGGAAAGCAAUAAAGCAAAUGUGCAAGAUUUAAGCAUUUCGUUUGAAUAUUACUUUCCAGAAAUGGCCAAAACUUUAAAUAGCACAGGAAUGACAUUUACAGAAAUACAAAAAAAUAGUUUGAAAAGUAAUUUCCUACAAGUACAGCUGGGCUUGAAGAGCUCAAAGCCCGUCAUAUUAGGUAGAUGGCAUUAUUUUUUCUUUUUUAAAGGAAAAGAAAAGCCUGAUCGUUAAACAAUAUGAGGCCUGCGGCAGUAAACCUGCGAACCAUUGAGGGAAACGAUGACGGACCACGCUGCUGGGAUCGGCCCAAUCUCAUGGCUUUGCACUCAGACAAAAGUCAUGGAAUUACAGUUUUUCAUCAGGUGUAGCUGAGCCAACAUUUAGACACCUCGUCACAUGAGCAGAAACAUUGCUAUGUUAAUCUACCUGUGAAUUUUCUGGAAUUCCCCAAAAUUGGUGUCAUUUCACCACAGGUAAUCGCUCGAAAUUGGUGCGUUUUAAGCAUAAAGUGUUGUGGGAUUAUGAAAAUUUUGGAGCAACAAUUAUUGGUUUACAAUCCUUGAUUGCUAGCUAUAACCUGCAUUUAUAUCAACAACUGCAGAGGUACAUCCAACUGAGCAAAAUCUGUAGCUUCAGCACUGCCUCUUGUGAUGGAAGGUUUUUCACAGACAAUCGGAAAAUAAGAAUAAAGGCUCUGAAUCGAUUAUGUCUUUCUCCGUUUAUUUCCUUGCAGGGGGAAAAAAGGUACGAGCUACGUGCUCAGUAGACUGACAAGAACAUCUUUUUCUUGCAACAGGGCAAAGCAGUUCUCAUCCCUCAGUUCAGUUACAGGUGACAUCAACAGAAACUCGCUUAUAUCCAACACAUGUGAACCAACUUGUUGUUACACUACAGCCAGGAGAGCGGGGACAUCUCAUCAGCGUGAGACACUUCCGCUCAAUUCUUUCCCAUGGCCUCACCAUCCCAGCACUUCCAAUUUAUGAACUGCUCGUACAAUGUAAAGCCUCUAUGAAAAAAGCACUGCACAUUCAUUUGUUUGUUAAAUCACCUUUUAACCUUGAACCGCCUUGAUCUGAACUACACACACAAUUUGACGAGCAAGCAACACCCGUAAAAUGCCUACCGAAUCACCCAGAGCACAGUUUCAACCUGCAAAAGAGCAGUGGAGCAUGUUGUGUACUGCGCGAUACAAUUAAAAAAUUCUCUCUUUUCACAAACAUGAAGUGAGAUUUUGCCGCAGGCCACAAGCCCCCCCCUCCCUACGGGCUUGGACCCUAACCUCUUUACAGACUCCACAUGAUAAAUGGUGGAGUGUUUUCAUGAGUGUGAAAACACUGAAAUGGUGUUAAUUUAUUCCAUUUAUUCAACACAUUUUCUCCCUGAUUUGAAUGUCUCGUACGCUCUUUUUUACACAACAUGAGACGUUUUUAAAUAAUUUAUUUGAUUGUUUUGUCAGUUUCAAUGACAAUGAAAUAUUUGAUUAAAUUAUUCUCUGAAAUAUAUCUUCUGCCGGCUUCCUUCGGAUUUCAUGUUCCAUCUUUAGUCCUUUAUUUGUCUAAUUAAAUGUAAUUGGCAGGCUGAUCAACCACAUGCCGUCAUCUUUCUUUACUUCUCCAUUCUUCCACUCACAGCGCCGUGUUUUAAUGCCACCUUGCUACAAAAGGAGGGUAAUUCCCACGAGUAAAGCCUGCACAAAGGCUCAAAAUGUCUUUCGAGAGAGCAACACAUGGUCUGACAGUGUUGGAACCCUAAACCUUGGGAUCGGGCCUUUGACUCGUCCCAAAGGCACAGGUGUAAAAGUGAUAGAAUAAAAAAGGCUGCUUCGGUUUCAGGGUCCUGAUGACUUACUUUGGUUACAUGAACAGAGCCAUGAUUGAUGUAAUUAGUCACAUGUGUUUCCUACUCUGUCAAAAUAUCCACUGUGAACGUUGCCUGCUAAACAUCUAAACUGUCAAGGGGAAAGGAACUUACCUCUUAUCUAAGUAAAAGGAACAGUAGCACAAUGCAGAAGCAAUGUCACACCAUUAAAGUUCCUAAACCUUUGAAAAUUAUAUCAAAUUAUGUGUAGCCUUUUGGAAAUUUGUUGCUCUUAGGGGGAAGUCAUCACAGACGGGCUCUUUACCGAGGCUCUACGGACUGUUUAACAUCUCUUAAUAGGCCGCUGUUUUUUGGCCUCGGCUCCGAAAAUGGCACACCCAUGAUAAAAAGUGUAAUAACUCUGGAAAUACCUUGUCUAUUUGUACAAUUAUUUUGUGUGGAUAAUGGGGGAAGCCCUGCGAGUGCUAUGAUGUGUAGAAAAUAUAUAGAAUAUAUAUAUAUAUAUAUA